Molecule: ribosomal RNA, 256 nt
Filed under: uncultured bacterium
Lineage: Bacteria
Description: partial 16S ribosomal RNA
Rfam family: Bacterial small subunit ribosomal RNA
Source: RNAcentral
UACGUAGGGUGCAAGCGUUAUCCGGAAUUAUUGGGCGUAAAGAGCUCGUAGGCGGUUUGUCGCGUCUGCUGUGAAAACUGGGGGCUCAACCCCCCAGCCUGCAGUGGGUACGGGCAGACUAGAGUGCGGUAGGGGGAGAUUGGAAUUCCUGGUGUAGCGGUGGAAUGCGCAGAUAUCAGGAGGAACACCAAUGGCGAAGGCAGAUCUCUGGGCCGUAACUGACGCUGAGGAGCGAAAGCAUGGGGGAGCGAACAGG